RNAcentral lists this ribosomal RNA (253 nucleotides) under uncultured bacterium. RNAcentral's name for it is "partial 16S ribosomal RNA". It matches the Rfam family "Bacterial small subunit ribosomal RNA", at positions 524 to 776 of the family's 1533-position model. The record is from RNAcentral.
UACGUAGGGGGCAAGCGUUGUCCGGAUUUAUUGGGCGUAAAGAGCGUGUAGGCGGCCCGACAGGUCCGUUGUGAAAACUCGAGGCUCAACCUCGAGACGUCGAUGGAAACCGUCUGGCUAGAGUCCGGAAGAGGAGUGUGGAAUUCCUGGUGUAGCGGUGAAAUGCGCAGAUAUCAGGAAGAACACCUAUGGCGAAGGCAGCACUCUGGGACGGUACUGACGCUGAGACGCGAAAGCGUGGGGAGCGAACAGG